This is a non-coding RNA of Triticum aestivum (bread wheat), 125 nucleotides long. The record is from Rfam. NCBI's taxonomy places the organism in Eukaryota, Viridiplantae, Streptophyta, Magnoliopsida, Poales, Poaceae.
CACAUACUCCCUUCGUCCGAAAUUACUUGUCUCCAAAAUAAAUAACAAUGGGUGUAUCUAGAACUAAAAAAUGUCUAGAUACAUUCAUUUCCAUUACAAGUAAUUUCGGACGGAGGGAGUAUAAG